CCUACGGGGGACAGCAGUGGGGAAUAUUGCGCAAUGGGCGAAAGCCUGACGCAGCGACGCCGCGUGAGGGAUGAAGGUCUUCGGAUCGUAAACCUCUGUCAGCAGGGAAGAACGGUCACUGUGCUAAUCAGCAGUGAAUUGACGGUACCUGCAAAGGAAGCACCGGCUAACUCCGUGCCAGCAGCCGCGGUAAUACGGAGGGUGCGAGCGUUAAUCGGAAUUACUGGGCGUAAAGCGCUCGUAGGCGGUAUGUCAAGUCAAGGGUGAAAUCCCCGCGCUCAACGUGGGAACUGCCUUUGAAACUGGCAGACUGGAGUGUGUGAGAGGAUAGUGGAAUUCCAGGUGUAGGGGUGAAAUCCGUAGAUAUCUGGAGGAACAUCAGUGGCGAAGGCGACUAUCUGGCACAUAACUGACGCUGAGGAGCGAAAGCGUGGGUAGCAAACAGGAUUAGAUACCCUUGUAGUC
RNAcentral lists this ribosomal RNA (465 nucleotides) under uncultured bacterium. RNAcentral's name for it is "partial 16S ribosomal RNA". It matches the Rfam family "Bacterial small subunit ribosomal RNA", at positions 338 to 795 of the family's 1533-position model. The record is from RNAcentral.